This 321-nucleotide ribosomal RNA is filed under the name uncultured eukaryote. RNAcentral describes it as "partial 18S ribosomal RNA". It matches the Rfam family "Eukaryotic small subunit ribosomal RNA", at positions 1470 to 1796 of the family's 1831-position model. The record is from RNAcentral.
CCCUUAGAUGUUCUGGGCUGCACGCGCGCUACACUGACGCACGCAACAGGUGCCUGCUCCGAGAGGACUGGGUAAUCAUUUGAGUGUGCGUCGUGAUGGGGAUAGAAUAUUGUAAUUAUUAAUCUUCAACGAGGAAUUCCUAGUAAGCGCGAGUCAUCAGCUCGUGCUGAUUACGUCCCUGCCCUUUGUACACACCGCCCGUCGCUCCUACCGAUUGAGUGUUCCGGUGAAUAAUUCGGACUGCAGCAGCGUGGGGACUCCUCAUGCUGCAGCGGAAAGUUUGGUGAACCUUAACACUUAGAGGAAGGAGAAGUCGUAACA